This 792-nucleotide ribosomal RNA is filed under the name uncultured bacterium. RNAcentral's name for it is "bacterial SSU rRNA". It matches the Rfam family "Bacterial small subunit ribosomal RNA", at positions 8 to 796 of the family's 1533-position model. The record is from RNAcentral.
AGAGUUUGAUCAUGGCUCAGAUUGAACGCUGGCGGCAUGCCUUACACAUGCAAGUCGAACGCGAAAGGGGGGCAACCCCUGAGUAGAGUGGCGAACGGGUGAGUAAUACAUCGGAACAUUUCCUGUAGUGGGGGAUAACCUCGAGAAAUCGAGGCUAAUACCGCGUACGUCCUACGGGAGAAAGCAGGGGAUCGCAAGACCUUGCGCUAUAGGAGUGGCCGAUGUCGGAUUAGCUAGUUGGCGGGGUAAAAGCCCACCAAGGCGACGAUCCGUAGCUGGUCUGAGAGGAUGAUCAGCCACACUGGGACUGAGACACGGCCCAGACUCCUACGGGAGGCAGCAGUGGGGAAUUUUGGACAAUGGGCGCAAGCCUGAUCCAGCCAUGCCGCGUGAGUGAAGAAGGCCUUCGGGUUGUAAAGCUCUUUCGGCCGGGACGAAAUCGCACCUUCUAAUACAAGGUGUGGAUGACGGUACCGGAGUAAGAAGGACCGGCUAACUACGUGCCAGCAGCCGCGGUAAUACGUAGGGUCCGAGCGUUAAUCGGAAUUACUGGGCGUAAAGCGUGCGCAGGCGGUUUUGUAAGCCAGAUGUGAAAGCCCCGGGCUUAACCUGGGAAUGGCAUUUGGGACUGCAAGGCUGGAGUACGGCAGAGGGAGGUGGAAUUCCAGGUGUAGCAGUGAAAUGCGUAGAGAUCUGGAGGAACACCGAUGGCGAAGGCAGCCUCCUGGGCUAGUACUGACGCUCAUGCACGAAAGCGUGGGGAGCAAACAGGAUUAGAUACCCUAGUAGUCC